UACGGAGGGGGCUAGCGUUGUUCGGAAUUACUGGGCGUAAAGCGCGCGUAGGCGGCUUUGUAAGUUAGAGGUGAAAGCCCGGAGCUUAACUCCGGAACUGCCUUUAAGACUGCAUCGCUAGAAUCGUGGAGAGGUGAGUGGAAUUCCGAGUGUAGAGGUGAAAUUCGUAGAUAUUCGGAGGAACACCAGUGGCGAAGGCGACUGCCUGGACAAAGACUGACGCUGAGGUGCGAAAGCGUGGGGAGCAAACAGG
Molecule: ribosomal RNA, 253 nt
Filed under: uncultured bacterium
Lineage: Bacteria
Description: partial 16S ribosomal RNA
Rfam family: Bacterial small subunit ribosomal RNA
Source: RNAcentral